GACGAACGCUGGCGGCGUGCUUAACACAUGCAAGUCGAACGAAGAGCGAUGGAAGCUUGCUUCUAUCAAUCUUAGUGGCGAACGGGUGAGUAACGCGUAAUCAACCUGCCCUUCAGAGGGGGACAACAGUUGGAAACGACUGCUAAUACCGCAUACGAUCUAAUCUCGGCAUCGAGGAUAGAUGAAAGGUGGCCUCUACAUGUAAGCUAUCACUGAAGGAGGGGAUUGCGUCUGAUUAGCUAGUUGGAGGGGUAACGGCCCACCAAGGCGAUGAUCAGUAGCCGGUCUGAGGGGAGGAACGGCCACAUGGGGACUGAGACACGGCCCAGACCCCUACGGGAGGCAGCAGUGGGGAAUCUUCCGCAAGGGACGAAAGUCUGACGGAGCAACGCCGCGGGAGGGAUGACGGCCUUCGGGUUUUAAAGCCUUUUUAAUCGGGAGGAAAGGCCUUCUUGCGAAAAGUGAGAAGGAUUGACGGUACCGGAAUAGAAAGCCACGGCUAACUACGU
RNAcentral lists this ribosomal RNA (509 nucleotides) under uncultured bacterium. RNAcentral's name for it is "partial 16S ribosomal RNA". It matches the Rfam family "Bacterial small subunit ribosomal RNA", at positions 28 to 506 of the family's 1533-position model. The record is from RNAcentral.